GGCGGACUGGUGAGUAACGCGUAAGGAACCUGCCUUCUAGAGGGGAAUAACAAUGAGAAAUCAUUGCUAAUACCGCAUAUGCCGAGAGAAUCACAUGGUACAAUCGGGAAAAGAGUAAUCUGCUAGAAGAUGGCCUUGCGUCUGAUUAGAUAGUUGGUGGGGUAACGGCCCACCAAGCCUUCGAUGGAUAGGGGUUCUGAGAGGAAGGUCCCCCACAUUGGAACUGAGACACGGUCCAAACUCCUACGGGAGGCAGCAGUGAGGAAUAUUGGUCAAUGGACGAGAGUCUGAACCAGCCAAGUAGCGUGAAGGAUGACUGCCCUAUGGGUUGUAAACUUCUUUUAUACGGGAAUAAAGUGAGGCACGUGUGCCUUUUUGUAUGUACCGUAUGAAUAAGGAUCGGCUAACUCCGUGCCAGCAGCCGCGGUAAUACGGAGGAUCCGAGCGUUAUCCGGAUUUAUUGGGUUUAAAGGGAGCGUAGGCGGACGCUUAAGUCAGUUGUGAAAGUUUGCGGCUCAACCGUAAAAUUGCAGUUGAUACUGGGUGUCUUGAGUACAGUAGAGGCAGGCGGAAUUCGUGGUGUAGCGGUGAAAUGCUUAGAUAUCACGAAGAACUCCGAUUGCGAAGGCAGCUUGCUGGACUGUAACUGACGCUGAUGCUCGAAAGUGUGGGUAUCAAACAGGAUUAGAUACCCUGGUAGUCCACACAGUAAACGAUGAAUACUCGCUGUUUGCGAUAUACAGUAAGCGGCCAAGCGAAAGCGUUAAGUAUUCCACCUGGGGAGUACGCCGGCAACGGUGAAACUCAAAGGAAUUGACGGGGGCCCGCACAAGCGGAGGAACAUGUGGUUUAAUUCGAUGAUACGCGAGGAACCUUACCCGGGCUUGAAUUGCAACUGAAUGAUGUGGAGACAUGUCAGCCGCAAGGCAGUUGUGAAGGUGCUGCAUGGUUGUCGUCAGCUCGUGCCGUGAGGUGUCGGCUUAAGUGCCAUAACGAGCGCAACCCUUAUCGAUAGUUACCAUCAGGUUAUGCUGGGGACUCUGUCGAGACUGCCGUCGUAAGAUGUGAGGAAGGUGGGGAUGACGUCAAAUCAGCACGGCCCUUACGUCCGGGGCUACACACGUGUUACAAUGGGGGGUACAGAAGGCAGCUACACGGCGACGUGAUGCUAAUCCCGAAAGCCUCUCUCAGUUCGGAUUGGAGUCUGCAACCCGACUCCAUGAAGCUGGAUUCGCUAGUAAUCGCGCAUCAGCCACGGCGCGGUGAAUACGUUCCCGGGCCUUGCACACACCGCCCGUCAAG
This 1302-nucleotide ribosomal RNA is filed under the name uncultured bacterium. Its description in RNAcentral is "bacterial SSU rRNA". It matches the Rfam family "Bacterial small subunit ribosomal RNA", at positions 97 to 1401 of the family's 1533-position model. The record is from RNAcentral.